Jaculus jaculus (lesser Egyptian jerboa) is the source of this 103-nucleotide small nuclear RNA. The record is from Ensembl. Lineage: Eukaryota; Metazoa; Chordata; Mammalia; Rodentia; Dipodidae.
UUGCUUUGGCAGCACAUAUACUAAAACUGUAAUGAUACAGAGAAGAUUAGCAUAGCCUCUGCACAAGAAUGGCAUGCAAAUUCAUGAAGCAGUUCAUAUUAAA